UACGGAGGGUGCGAGCGUUAUUCGGAAUUACUGGGUUUAAAGGGUGCGUAGGCGGCUAAGUAAGUUGUCAUUGAAAGGCUACAGCUCAACUGUAGUAGUGGUGGCGAUACUGCUUAGCUAAGAACAUGGGAGGGGUACUUGGAAUGUGUGGUGUAGCGGUGAAAUGCGUAGAUAUCACACAGAACACCAGAGGCGAAGGCGGAGUACUAGACCAUAGUUGACGCUGAGGCACGAAAGCGUGGGGAUCAAACAGGAUUAGAUAC
RNAcentral lists this ribosomal RNA (263 nucleotides) under uncultured bacterium. RNAcentral's name for it is "partial 16S ribosomal RNA". It matches the Rfam family "Bacterial small subunit ribosomal RNA", at positions 524 to 785 of the family's 1533-position model. The record is from RNAcentral.